CCUACGGGAGGCAGCAGUGAGGAAUAUUGGUCAAUGGUCGUAAGCCUGAACCAGCCAAGCCGCGUGAGGGAUGAAGGUUCUGUGGAUCGUAAACCUCUUUUGUAAGGGAAUAAAGUCCGGGACGUGUCCCGUUUUGUGUGUACCUUAUGAAUAAGGAUCGGCUAACUCCGUGCCAGCAGCCGCGGUAAUACGGAGGUUCCGAGCGUUAUCCGGAUUUAUUGGGUUUAAAGGGUGAGUAGGCGGCCUUGUAAGUCAGCGGUGAAAGUCUGUGGCUCAACCCUAGAAUUGCCGUUGAAACUGGGAGGCUGGAGUAUGUGUGAGGCAGGCGGAAUGCGUGGUGUAGCGGUGAAAUGCUUAGAUAUCACGCAGAACCCCGAUUGCGAAGGCAGCCUGCCAAGCCAUGACUGACGCUGAGGCACGAAAGCGUGGGUAUCAAACAGGAUUAGAUACCCCUGUAGUC
RNAcentral lists this ribosomal RNA (460 nucleotides) under uncultured bacterium. Its description in RNAcentral is "partial 16S ribosomal RNA". It matches the Rfam family "Bacterial small subunit ribosomal RNA", at positions 338 to 795 of the family's 1533-position model. The record is from RNAcentral.